Molecule: ribosomal RNA, 530 nt
Filed under: Bifidobacterium adolescentis
Lineage: Bacteria; Bacillati; Actinomycetota; Actinomycetes; Bifidobacteriales; Bifidobacteriaceae
Description: bacterial SSU rRNA
Rfam family: Bacterial small subunit ribosomal RNA
Source: RNAcentral
GUGGUAAUGCCGGAUGCUCCAGUUGGAUGCAUGUCCUUCUGGGAAAGAUUCAUCGGUAUGGGAUGGGGUCGCGUCCUAUCAGCUUGAUGGCGGGGUAACGGCCCACCAUGGCUUCGACGGGUAGCCGGCCUGAGAGGGCGACCGGCCACAUUGGGACUGAGAUACGGCCCAGACUCCUACGGGAGGCAGCAGUGGGGAAUAUUGCACAAUGGGCGCAAGCCUGAUGCAGCGACGCCGCGUGCGGGAUGACGGCCUUCGGGUUGUAAACCGCUUUUGACUGGGAGCAAGCCCUUCGGGGUGAGUGUACCUUUCGAAUAAGCACCGGCUAACUACGUGCCAGCAGCCGCGGUAAUACGUAGGGUGCAAGCGUUAUCCGGAAUUAUUGGGCGUAAAGGGCUCGUAGGCGGUUCGUCGCGUCCGGUGUGAAAGUCCAUCGCUUAACGGUGGAUCCGCGCCGGGUACGGGCGGGCUUGAGUGCGGUAGGGGAGACUGGAAUUCCCGGUGUAACGGUGGAAUGUGUAGAUAUCGGA